CCGGAAUGCGGACGCUGGCGUGCAGCUCACAAGUACGAGCGGAUGAAGGGAGCUUGCUACUGGAUUCAGCGGCGGACGGGUGAGUAAUGCCUAGGAAUCUGCCUGGUAGUGGGGGAUAACGUCCGGAAACGGGCGCUAAUACCGCAUACGUCCUGAGGGAGAAAGUGGGGGAUCUUCGGACCUCACGCUAUCAGAUGAGCCUAGGUCGGAUUAGCUAGUUGGUGGGGUAAAGGCCUACCAAGGCGACGAUCCGUAACUGGUCUGAGAGGAUGAUCAGUCACACUGGAACUGAGACACGGUCCAGACUCCUACGGGAGGCAGCAGUGGGGAAUAUUGGACAAUGGGCGAAAGCCUGAUCCAGCCAUGCCGCGUGUGUGAAGAAGGUCUUCGGAUUGUAAAGCACUUUAAGUUGGGAGGAAGGGCAGUAAGUUAAUACCUUGCUGUUUUGACGUUACCAACAGAAUAAGCACCGGCUAACUUCGUGCCAGCAGCCGCGGUAAUACGAAGGGUGCAAGCGUUAAUCGGAAUUACUGGGCGUAAAGCGCGCGUAGGUGGUUCAGCAAGUUGGAUGUGAAAUCCCCGGGCUCAACCUGGGAACUGCAUCCAAAACUACUGAGCUAGAGUACGGUAGAGGGUGGUGGAAUUUCCUGUGUAGCGGUGAAAUGCGUAGAUAUAGGAAGGAACACCAGUGGCGAAGGCGACCACCUGGACUGAUACUGACACUGAUGUGCGAAAGCGUGGGGAGCAAACAGGAUUAGAUACCCUGGUAGUCCACGCCGUAAACGAUGUCAACUAGCUCGUUGGGGAUCCUUGAGAUCUUAUUGGCCGCCAUCUAAGCGCUGAUAAGUCGACCGCCUGGGGGAGUACGGCCCGCAGGGUUAAAACUGCAAAUGAAUUUGACGGGGAGUCC
Molecule: ribosomal RNA, 910 nt
Filed under: Pseudomonas aeruginosa
Lineage: Bacteria; Pseudomonadati; Pseudomonadota; Gammaproteobacteria; Pseudomonadales; Pseudomonadaceae
Description: bacterial SSU rRNA
Rfam family: Bacterial small subunit ribosomal RNA
Source: RNAcentral